RNAcentral lists this ribosomal RNA (497 nucleotides) under uncultured bacterium. RNAcentral describes it as "partial 16S ribosomal RNA". It matches the Rfam family "Bacterial small subunit ribosomal RNA", at positions 28 to 507 of the family's 1533-position model. The record is from RNAcentral.
GAUGAACGCUGGCGGCGUGCCUAAUACAUGCAAGUCGAGCGAACAGACGAGGAGCUUGCUCCUCUGACGUUAGCGGCGGACGGGUGAGUAACACGUGGAUAACCUACCUAUAAGACUGGGAUAACUUCGGGAAACCGGAGCUAAUACCGGAUAACAUGUUGAACCGCAUGGUUCAACAGUGAAAGACGGUCUUGCUGUCACUUAUAGAUGGAUCCGCGCCGCAUUAGCUAGUUGGUAAGGUAACGGCUUACCAAGGCAACGAUGCGUAGCCGACCUGAGAGGGUGAUCGGCCACACUGGAACUGAGACACGGCCCAGACUCCUACGGGAGGCAGCAGUAGGGAAUCUUCCGCAAAGGGCGAAAGCCUGACGGAGCAACGCCGCGUGAGUGAAGAAGGUCUUCGGAUCGUAAAACUCUGUUAUUAGGGAAGAACAAAUGUGUAAGUGACUAUGCACGUCUUGACGGUACCUAAUCAGAAAGCCACGGCUAACUACGUG